AAGUAUAAUAUUAAAAAAACAAAAAUUUUUUGAAACCUAGAGAUUUAAUAUUGAAUUGUGAUGAGUUCAUAUUGUAUAGUUAAGAUCGUUAAUGUGGUUUCAUUGAUUAACAUUUGCAAAGAUGAUUUCUACAUUUAUUACUGUAAAACAAAUUUGAUUAGGUAUAUAUAAAUUCUGCUAAGUGGGAUUUCUGUAAUUAGGAGUUUAAGUGAUAAUAUUUAUAUUGCCUUGUGUAGUCCAGUGAAUAUCUAGUGAUCACUUUUAAGUUUUAAGAAUCCAACCAUAAUUACAGCAUAAGUCAUGAAACUGUAAUUUACUCUUUUCUCCUCAAUUUUCUGUUAGUGCCUUUUCCCUUUUUGCGCAUGUUUUGGCUUCUGUCUGAAAUGUGCCGGCAAUUCUUGGUAAUGUAUUCAUUUUGUCCUGUGCUCAAAUGCUGAAUUUUUUGUGAGUGAUAUGUUACUAAUAAUUCAGAGUUUCAAUAAUGUGUAAAAAUCUGGUUGUCAUUCCACGCAAAUCAGACCACAUAGCACCUAAAAUUUUGACACUGGCUAUGUAUACAUGCUUGCUAAAGAAAUGUUUCCAGAAGCUCUUUUAUCAUCACUGAUGAGUAUAAAUGAUUCUGCAUUAAAAUAAUUAGUCCCAGGUCUCUGCACUACCUUGAAGAUACACUGUGAGGGAUUGGUUUGGCCAAUGCAGUUCUGGAAUCAUUUGCUGCCAUGCAUGUUAAACAAAGCCUUGAACUUUGUUUACAAUAGAAAAUUCUUUGCAGUUUUCUGGUCAACUGUGUGCUUAGUAAUGAGUGCCUUAAACUGUUAAAAAUUUUCAGUUUAGAAAUAAAUUGGAUCAAUUUGAACCACAUAUUUAAAACAACUGUUUUAUGAAAUAUGAAUUUAUAAAAUGUUCGUGUGAUAACCGAUACUAUGGAUCUCUAGCAUAUACCUUAAAAAUUGUUUCCAAGCCUUUUAUAUUUAAUAACUGUUGACACUUUGAGGUUUUAAAGCUGGAAAGGACAACUUCAAAGAUCAGGAUAGUGAAAUACUCUCAUUUAUUAAGGAGAUUUGGAGCAAGUUAUAUAAUUUAUAUUAAAUCUCUGUUAUCUUAUUCAUGGAACAAGUAAGUUGGUUUACAUAGAUUUGAGUUUUGAGAAUUAGUUCUUUCAUUUGGUGCCAUAGAGAUUAUCUAGCUAGAUUUUUUUUACUGUCCUUUUUACAGAUGUUGAAGCUGUCAUUUUUACCUUAUAAUCUUGAGUGAGUAUCAGGUAAAAGUUAGUAGCUUAUGACAAACCUUUAACCAGUAUGUUAGAUUCUUUAAAAAUAUAUUUUUGGAUUACCAAUAUUUAUGUUUUUUUAUUUUUAACCCCUCAAAAUUAUAUAAGAAAUCUUUUCUUUUCUGAAUAAAUUGAAAUCAAGAAAGUGAUGAGCAAUCAUUUUAAACAGAAUAUUUUUUCAGUAUUACAAAUUUAGAAGUUCCAAAUGUCUUAAAGCCCUUACUUCAUUAGAAUAUCUCAUCAGAAUUUAUUAUUGUUUGUUUGCAAAAAGUCUCAGUAGAAUUUUCAUUUUGCAGUUUUUUUCUCAAAUGUGUGCAAAUGUUAGCUAAUAGUUUGCUUUUAUCUGUACAUUCGUAACUAUUGUCCAACUUUAAUUCCUUGAAUUUCGAUAAACUUUGAGUCUUAUACAUGUUCAGAGAUGAUUGCACUGCGCACUUACUGUUUAAUAUGAAAAUACUUUUUUCAUUUGUUUGCAGUUUUAAUCUGAGAAACGUGCUUUCAGAGCUUCCUUGCACUGUUCAUGAGCAUUCACAUUUAGCUUGGCAGUUUUGUACAUACUACAUGGUUGAUGAAACUGAAUGGUUCAGUGCAGACUCAUUCAGGCAUUUACUGUACAUUUCUCCCGAGAAAAGAGUGAGAUCGUGUCAUCUCAUGCUCCCCAUCCGCAGGUCACUUCCUGUAGAAAUAUGGACUAACUUAAACCUCGUGAGUACUGAUCUGAGCCUCUCUUGCAGCCUCUAGUAUAAGAAACACACCCUGGGAUUUUAUGAUAGCUGUGGAAUUAGUAGAAGGCGGGAAAUGAACUUUUAUUUCCUGAAUUUGUGUGUGCAUUAUUGAGUAUUCCAUAAAAAUUUAAUUAUGAUCCCUUUAUAAUCCUUUUAGAAGGAAGAAUGGGGUACUUUCAGGUCAUCGUGUAAUAGCAGCGUGGGGUCUUCAGCUUGGCGGUAACAGCCUUGACCUCCAAGGAAUCUGAUAAUAGUGUAUAUACA
Non-coding RNA from Oryctolagus cuniculus (rabbit), 2256 nucleotides. Lineage: Eukaryota; Metazoa; Chordata; Mammalia; Lagomorpha; Leporidae. The record is from RefSeq and is a predicted model, not a curated record.